RNAcentral lists this transfer RNA (71 nucleotides) under Darthula hardwickii. Its description in RNAcentral is "tRNA-Lys". The record is from RNAcentral. Lineage: Eukaryota; Metazoa; Arthropoda; Insecta; Hemiptera; Aetalionidae.
CAUUAAAAAACUUAAACGCAAGUGUUGAUCUCUUAAAUCAAAAAUUAGUAAUUAGCAACUACUUUUAAUGA